GCAUAUCAAUAAGCGGAGGAAAAGAAACUAACAAGGAUUCCCCUAGUAGCGGCGAGCGAAGCGGGAUGAGCUCAAAUUUGUAAUCUGGCGUCCCUUGGGCGUCCGAGUUGUAAUCUAUAGAAACGUUUUCCGUGCCGGACCACGUCCAAGUCCCCUGGAAUGGGGUAUCAAAGAGGGUGAGAAUCCCGUGCUUGACGUGACGACCGGUGCUCUGUGAUACGUUCUCUACGAGUCGAGUUGUUUGGGAAUGCAGCUCUAAAUGGGUGGUAGACUCCAUCUAAGGCUAAAUAUUGGCGAGAGACCGAUAGCGAACAAGUACCGUGAGGGAAAGAUGAAAAGCACUUUGGAAAGAGAGUUAAACAGUAUGUGAAAUUGUUGAAAGGGAAACGAUUGAAGUCAGUCGUGUCCAUCGGGUUCAGCCGGGUCUCCCGGUCUAUUCCCUUUGGACGGGUCAACAUCGGUUUUGUCUGGCGGAUAAUGGCUGUGGGAAGGUGGCACCCCUCGGGGUGUGUUAUAGCCCGCUGUCGCAUACGCUGGACGAGACCGAGGACUGCAGCUCGCCCUUGUGGCCGGGGGUUCGCCCCACGUACCGAGCUUAGGAUGUUGGCAUAAUGGCUUUAAACGACCCGUCUUGAAACACGGACC
RNAcentral lists this ribosomal RNA (645 nucleotides) under Cryptococcus sp. D162_2. RNAcentral's name for it is "eukaryotic LSU rRNA". It matches the Rfam family "Eukaryotic large subunit ribosomal RNA", at positions 38 to 667 of the family's 3401-position model. The record is from RNAcentral. Lineage: Eukaryota; Fungi; Basidiomycota; Tremellomycetes; Tremellales; Cryptococcaceae.